CUCAUCUGAACGGGGAGACUGAAAAGGGAAGCGGUGUGUGGCAUUCACUCACUGCCCUACUGAGAAGCAACAACACAAUCCUCCCUCCCCAUUUUCUAAAGGCAGAAAACCCCAGGUGGGGCUGGGAUCCCUUCUCUGCCUCUGCUUCCUGGGCUGGUGCAGCCCCCUUGUGCUGGAAAUGGCCCACCUUGAUUAUCAUACACAUUGUAAGGAGAGUGAUCACUUUAGAUAAGCUAUUACCAGCAGGAGAGUAGGGUGGGGGGAGAGAAAACCUUUUGAAGUGAUAAACACCCACUUUUUUCAUGGUCUGUGUGUAUAAAACAUUCUCACUGCAUUUUCCACUGUAUGCAUCCGAUGAAGUGAGCUGUAGCUCAGGAAAGCUCAUGCUCAAAUAAAUUGGUUAGUCUCUAAGGUGCCACUAGUACUCCUUUUCUUUUUGCAAAUACAGACUAACACGACUGCUACUCUGAAACUCCUCUAUCCAGCAGCUCUAUCCCUUUAAAUUGCCGCCGGGGCCGCAGCCCGUGCCGGAAGGACCCUGGGACUGCAGCUGGUGGUGGCUAUUUAUACCCGGGCCGGAGCAGGGGGAACCGGAUUGCGCCUCUCAGUGCGACCGUGGGCAGGGAGAGGCCGCGGCGCGCAGGGGGCGGGCGGCGGGAUUCCAUGUCUCCUUGAGGCGUCGGCUUGGCUGUGCAGGGGCUGGGUUUGGGGGUGACCUGCAAAGGGGCGUUUCCUUCCUGCCAUGGAUGCAGCAGGGGCCUGAAGGUGCCCGCCCAGCCCGAGGCGCCCCGGGUGGCGGCGGCCGCGCUAGCUCCGAGGAUCGUGCCCGUAGAGACGCUGCCAUGGCCACGGCCGUGUCCUCCACCCCGGGAGGCAGCGGGCGAGCUGUGGGUCGCUCGGCCGCGUUCUCCCCUCUCAGCCCGACCCGGCUCAGCCGGCUGCAGGAGAAGGAGGAGCUGCAGCAGCUCAAUGACCGCCUGGCCGCCUACAUCGACCGGGUGCGGGCCCUGGAGGCCGAUAAGUCCGCGCUGCAGCAGCGGCUGGCGGAGCAGGAGGAAGGGAGCAGCCGGGAGCUGGGCAACGUGCGGCUCCGCUACGAGACCGAGCUGGCCGAUGCCCGCAAGGCGCUGGACUGCAUCGCUAUCGAGCGGGCCACGCUGCAGGUGGAGCUGGGCAAGCUCAGCGAGGAGCACCGGCAGCUGCACGCCAGGAAUUCUAAAAAAGAAGCUGACUUAAACCUGGCACAGGCUCGUAUAAGAGACCUUGAUGCUCAGCUGAACUCCAAGGAAGCUGACUUAGCAACUGCUUUGAGUGGAAAAAGAAGUUUGGAGGGCAACCUUCAAGAGUUAAAGGAUCAAAUAGUCACUCUUAAGUUGGCAUUGGAAGAUACCAAGAAGCAUCUCCACGGAGAAAUGUUGAGGAGAGUGGACCUGGAAAACCAAAUGAAAACUCUGCAAGAACAAAUGACAUUCCAGAAACACCUUCAUGAAGAUGAGCUCAAGGAAACAAAAAGAUUCCAUGAGAGCAGGAUAGCGGAAAUAGAAUCUGGCCGUCAAAGGGAAUUUGAGAGCAAACUUUCAGAUGCUCUGCAAGGACUUAGAAAGGAGCAUGAAGAACAAAUUCAAGAAUACAAAGAUGACUUGGAGCGCACAUUCAGUGCCAAAAUGGAGAAUGCCCAACUUUCUGCCGCAAAAAAUAGCGACUUUGCCAAUGCUGCUCGGGAGGAGCUGAUGGAAACAAAGAUGAGAGUUGACACUUUGACAUCCCAGCUUAAUCAUUAUCAAACCCAGAACUGUGUAUUGGAGAACAGAAUAAGAGAGUUACAGGAGACCCUGGAUUAUGACCGUGAGAUGCAUCGAAGGCGUAUGGCUGAAAAAGAUAAAGAAAUGGUACAAACGCGGCGGCAGAUGCAAGCACAGUUGGAAGAAUAUGAGCAUCUACUAGAUGUGAAACUGGCUCUAGAUCUGGAAAUAAAUGCCUACAGAAAGAUGCUAGAAGGAGAAGAACAGAGGCUAAAAUUGUCAUCUAGUCCAUCUUCCCAAAGUGUUGCAACCCAGGCAACAACCAGCCAUGGGCAUCGCUUCCUACAUGGAAAAAAGAGAAAACUGAAAGAAUCCAAAAAGGGAGAGCACAGUGUCAGCUUUAAGAUUGUUCAGCAUGCUUCAUGUUCAGGAAAUGUGUCCAUAGAAGAAAUUGACACAGAAGGGAAUUUUGUCAAACUUAAAAACAACUCAGAUGAGGAUCAAUCACUAAAUGGCUGGGUACUAAGACGACGACUUGGAAGCUUGUCUGAAAUAAUAUACAAAUUCCCUGCUCGGUUUGUCCUUCAGGCAGGCCAAGUAGUUACGAUCUGGGGUGCUGAUGCUGGUGUAAACCAGAGUCCUAGUGAUCUGGUCUGGAAAUCACAGCGGUCUUGGGGAACUGGGGAUAACAUUGGUGUUACACUCAUCAAUGCCGAUGGAGAGGAGACUGCAGAACGGAAGAUCAUACAUGUAUCCAGAGGAGAAGGUGAACUGGACGAUGAGUUUGAUGAAGAAGAAAUAACAGGGAGCGAAAUGGAGUUUCAUCGUCGGACCAAAAGAAGAAAAAAGAAAUGUUGUUUGGUGUCAUGAUUGUGUUUCCUGUGAGCAUCACAAAAUAGGACAAAGAAUAAACCACGUGGGAAUUAGUUAGAAGUGUCUCCAGCAAAACGAAGAUCCUAGCUGUUCUGUCAUGUAACUAAACCCAAGGUAGUGACUACCUAAAACCACUCCUUAAACCAAAGUGACCCUUCAGACUGCAUGAAUUUUCAGCAGCUUCUGGAACAUGUGAAUCUAGGAAUUUUUUCCCCUAUCAGAUGUGUUUGGCGAAAGGAAGUUUCAAAUUUUGGAGGAUGCUAUUUGUUGAUAUUGGGCCCUGCCUUCAAUGAAACUAGAUCAAAGUGCACAUUUCCUUUUUCUAAGUCUCUUUCCAGGACAAAUAGAAGUAUUUGAUUUAUUCACCCACAACUACUUGCCCUAAAGUUUACAAUAACCUCCUGCUAGGCAUGUCUCCUCCUAGCCAAGGAUGGUAACUGCUCACAAAUGUAAUAGCUCCAGCUUUCUAAACUCCUGAUUUAUUCAAAAUAUUUUUCUCAAAAGCAGGCUUAGAAGGAAAACUGUUUCAAGCCUGACUGAAAUUUAGGUGGACCAAAUACUGCCUUGACUUACACCUUGUGCAACUCCACUGAAUUGAAAGUCAGAACAAAUUGUUAUCCUUGUUUCAAACACCAAGAUCUAAGCCAAAUGAUAUGAUGAUCUACUGGUGUAAAGUUUUAAAAUGAGCAAUCUAUUUGUAAAACAUGUGGUUUUUUUAACCUGUGGUUAAAUAAACCAACCAUUAUACUGUUUCUAUAGCCUAGUACCUGUUAACCUCAAAAUCUGUAUUUAUUAAACUAUGUACAACAGCACUUUGGAUAGAAGCUAUGUAUAGUGAAGUGUUAAACUUUGAGGUGAGUAGCUUUGUACUAUAAAUGUGAACUGAGUCUGAUGCCAACAUAGCAAUACUGUGGUUAAAUAUAUCCAUACCUAAGUUAACGGCUUACUUGGCAAAAUAUUAAUGGGGAUAGAAUUUAAUUGAACAGUUUGGUAUAGCUAGAGAUAUCACACUCCAAUGAUUGCUAAGUCUUCUUACCCUUUUAAGAAAGUUCCUGUGCUUAUUAAACAUGUGAAAUACAGAUGUGCAGUUUACACUGUCACUUCAGUAUUCAUAACUGAGGUGAGGACAACUUCUGUUUUUGUCAAAUAGCUAGAUAUGUUCCCUAUUAGAGCACUGAGUUCAAGUGGAUUAAUAUUGCAUUGUAACAAGGUACAGCUAAAAUGUCUAGCACAGAGGGGUUGAUCAUGGGUAGCCACUACAGUUAGCCACUGUAGCUUUAUUUUUUUGUUUACCUAGUGGCUAUACUAAAAAGGUAGGAAAUGGCCCAGCAAGAGUCCCUAGUUAAGCAAAGCAAGUCUGUUUCCUUGCUUAAAAAGUUAGCUGAUAAUGCAGCCCCAUCUGAGCACUGGAGCAGCUUUCAGCAUUUUGUUGCCUUGCCAAAAGUCUCUACUGCAUAGUAUGUCUGAACUUUAAGAUCUGGCCCAUGUUAGGACCAUGCUUUUUAGAGUGCUUUAGAGUUCCCUUCAAUUGGACUAAUUAAAAUAUAGUAUUUUAAGACACUGGACACCUAAAUGGUGACUGAAUUUGGCCUUUCAUAUUUUAGCAGACCCAAAUCCUUCAUUUUGUUGCACCUUGUCACUUUAGAAGAAUUUAAAAUAAGCUCUGUUUAUGAUCUUGCUGUGUUUAUAAUCUUGGGCUGUUCAAUUGAUAUUUUUUUUAUUAAAGAUAUUUUCCAUGUA
Molecule: RNA transcript, 4355 nt
Organism: Caretta caretta (loggerhead turtle)
Lineage: Eukaryota; Metazoa; Chordata; Testudines; Cheloniidae
Gene name: lamin-B3
Source: RefSeq, a predicted model, not a curated record